GAUGAACGCUAGCGGCAGGCAUAAUACAUGCAAGACGAACGGUAAGUUGAGUAGCAAUACUUGACCUAGAGUGUCGUACGGGUGCGUAACACGUAUGCAACCUACCUUUUACAGGAGUAUAGCUCGGUGAAAACCGAAUUAACCCUCCAUAAGAUCGUGUUCAGGCAUCUGGAAGCGAUAAAAACUGAGGUGGUAAAAGA
RNAcentral lists this ribosomal RNA (200 nucleotides) under uncultured bacterium. Its description in RNAcentral is "partial 16S ribosomal RNA". It matches the Rfam family "Bacterial small subunit ribosomal RNA", at positions 28 to 225 of the family's 1533-position model. The record is from RNAcentral.